UCAUCACUAUCUUAGAUCUGUGAUUGGGAGAGAGAGAGAAAGAGAGUUGAGCCUCGACCAUUAUUGUUGUCGUCUCCGUCGUGUUGUUGUAAUUGAACGGAUCCGAGAAUUUUUGAGGACAGAUUGUUGUCGUUCAUCAUCACCACCACCAGCGUGUCAUCGGAGGUUACCACCACUAGUCCCCGGUUGUCAGCCGAUGUCACAUGAGCAGCCAUAGGCCCAUAGCCCAUCGACAAGUUCGUUAAGGGUAAGGAAACCCUAGUUUUAUUAUGUACCUUGCGCAGGAAGUUUCUGGUUUUGUCUUGUGAUCUGUUGCUAUGUCUUGCUUUCGAUUGUCGAGUCAUGAGAACCUAACGGCCGUGAGUUUGAACCGCCUCGUCAAGCCUCCAAACAGAUCCGUCGAGUGUAAACGCUGAGAGAGGUGAACGGCUUAAUCCGAGAGUCGUAUAUGUUGUUGUGUUGUGUUAUUUCUAUCAUUGAACCGAGAAUCUAAACCAUCUAAACCAAGGAAUCCUACGUCUAAUAAAGCACAGAAAACCGGAACGUAUUAUCGUGGUCACGUGAAGUGGAAAUUGUGGUGUUUUGGAAUUAUUGUUUUGGUAUUGUUCAUUGAACCGGAGUCGAUCAUGUGCUCAUGAAGUUGAAUUGUGGUGUUAUUAAAGUAUUAGAUAUUUUGGUG
This 679-nucleotide long non-coding RNA is filed under the name Arabidopsis lyrata. Its description in RNAcentral is "long non-coding RNA (ALYR_LNC002756)". Lineage: Eukaryota; Viridiplantae; Streptophyta; Magnoliopsida; Brassicales; Brassicaceae. The record is from RNAcentral.